RNA transcript from Cephus cinctus (wheat stem sawfly), 2688 nucleotides. It is a transcript of the gene named paired box protein Pax-6, with no coding region annotated. The transcript has 10 exons. The record is from RefSeq and is a predicted model, not a curated record. NCBI's taxonomy places the organism in Eukaryota, Metazoa, Arthropoda, Insecta, Hymenoptera, Cephidae.
AUCCUGCAUGCCAGCAACCCCAGUCUCUCUAUGCGUGUCCAACCUCUCCAGCAUCCCAGGCAGCACAGUAGCUGUUGGAUUUACCUAAACGUGCCAAAACGCCACGCGUCCUCAUACCGAGCAGCACGCAAUCGCCACGGACUUAUAUUUUUUUUUUCACGGGUCCGCGAAUCAUCCCUUGAUUAAAUAAAUACGUGGACCAGUCUAGACCCCAACAGACAAGCUGUCAAACACUGUAUGGGAAUUGCGGGAGGGCGAACGAAAAAAAAAGACCUCAGGACCUUGUGACAUAACACGGAGAACGGUGAAAUUUGUCAAUCACGCAGCGAAAAGCACCGGUCGUUUGAAGCUACCGAUACGGGAGAGAGACAAUUUUGAAAAAAAAUUUCAAAAAGAGAGAGAGAGACUAUACGCGGGAAUUUCCUUCGUCUUCUGCUUACAGGCGAACAUUGAACGAAAUUUUAGGGACUCGAUAUCAACGGGGCAUCUGAUACAGGGUCGUUUUUACAAAGUGCAAUAAGGAUACGGAAGGCCGAAGGUCCGUAAGGAUUCUUAUGAUCUAAUACGGUGUCUGUUAUUUUUUUUUUUCAAAUUCCGAGGAUCAAGUUCGGUUUUGAUCCUUGCGUGUGUGAGACUGUAACUAAUACAUAUAUAGAAUAGGACUGUGAUUUUGUUUGUUCUGUGACGAGGAUCCUUGUUCAGUGUUGUUUUAAUUGCCAGUGGAAAAGGAGCUUAGCCGUCGGCCGUCGGGAGCAAUUGUGACCGGAAGUGUCGAAAGGCCUGAAGAUUUUGCCUUCGCAGCAGUUGGGCGCAGCGGUCGCUCCAUGGCCGGGCGCCACCGGCCUCCUAGCCUCCGUCACGGCUGACGAUAUGGCGCACAAGGGUCACAGCGGGGUCAAUCAACUGGGUGGCGUCUUCGUCGGCGGUCGACCGCUUCCUGACUCGACGAGACAGAAGAUUGUCGAACUGGCCCAUUCGGGGGCCCGGCCCUGCGACAUCUCGAGGAUCCUUCAGGUCAGCAACGGCUGCGUCUCCAAGAUUCUGGGCAGCAGGUACUACGAGACGGGGUCGAUAAGACCCAGGGCCAUUGGCGGUAGCAAACCACGGGUUGCUACUGCUGAGGUCGUCAGUAAGAUAUCCCUAUACAAGAGCGAGUGCCCUUCGAUAUUCGCGUGGGAGAUAAGGGAUCGUUUGCUCCAGGAAGGAGUCUGUACGAACGACAACAUACCGAGUGUAUCCUCGAUCAACAGGGUGCUAAGGAAUCUUGCUGCUCAAAAGGAACAGCGACAGCAGCAACAGCAACAAGGCGUCGGUGGUGUCGGCGUCGGUGCCGGUAGUCCUGCCGAGAGCGUCUACGACAAGCUCAGGCUGUUAAAUGGUCAAACUACUGGCUGGCCAAGACCCAAUCCUUGGUAUCCGUCCGGAGCGGGAAGCCCAUUUCCGUCUCUACAGCCCAGCCUGAGUCCCAGCCAUUGUACAGCACUGCCACCAGACCCGGCGGACAUUUUGCACGCGAAGAAGGUGGCUGAACUUGAAGGUGGCGCCCAUUCGGACGAGACGAACAGCGGGGGCGACAACAGUAACGCCGGUAGCGUUUCCGGCGGCGCGGACGACGAUCAGGCCAGGUUGCGUCUCAAGCGAAAACUCCAGCGAAAUCGCACGAGCUUCAGUAACGAGCAGAUCGACGCCCUGGAGAAAGAAUUCGAGAGGACUCAUUAUCCGGAUGUCUUUGCCAGAGAGAGACUAGCCGGAAAGAUUGGCCUACCGGAAGCCCGGAUACAGGUAUGGUUUUCGAAUCGGCGUGCGAAGUGGCGACGGGAGGAGAAAUUGCGAACCCAGAGGAGGGACAGUUCUCAGCAGCAUACUGGUGGCGUCAGUCUUAUUGGAGGUCAUCCAACGCCUCCGCCACCUUCUGGUAUUCUUGGAGGUCAGCCACCGCCGCAGGCGCCACCAUCGCCCCCAAGAAUUCAUCAUGGGUUCGCGCCCACGGCUGUAUACCCAGGUAUACCAAGUAUGCCGGAUUCGUACAGUCCCAUGACGUCCAUGCCGAGCUUCACGAUGUCCGGAAGUAGUCAGCAGACCCAGCAUACUACAAGCAUGUCCUCCCUGUCAUCAGGAGGCGGUAUGGGUCCUAUGGGCAUGACCGUAGGUAUGACAGUAGGUCCCAGUCCUGGUGCCUGCCUUCAACAACGUGACAACGGCUAUUCCUGCGGGGUAGCAAGACCUCCGAGCUACGAGCCACUUCAUCUAGGGUACGGGGCCCGACCUACUUGCAGUCCCACUCAGCCCUAUCAUACCGCGGGCCUUAACCAGUACAACCAGAACACCAGCUCGACCGGUGAGUGUCUACCGCACUCACUGCACUCGCUGCUUGCUCUUUAGCCGCUGGACAAUGGCUACUACGGAUACUAUUGACCCACUGCAGACUUAUCGCCGGUUUGAUAUCUCCUGGAGUCAGCGUCCCGAUAGCGGUACCAGGACAACCAGCACCAGAUAUGGCGGCCCAAUAUUGGAGCCCGAGGUUACAGUGACCGUGGUGGUCGUCCACGUCGACAUCCACAUCCUAGGUUCAUCAGUAUCGUUCUUCUUUCUCCUUGUCUUCGUUGUCGACCUCUUCUUCGCCGGUGGCUGGACCCCGAAGAAGCAUCAAGAGUAAUCCUGGUCGAUACUCCUCGCGGUUGUACCACU